GGGGAUUUAGCUCAGUGGCACAGCGCCUGCCUGGGAAGCAUGAGGUCCUGAGUUCAAUACCUAGUACCCCCA
Molecule: transfer RNA, 72 nt
Filed under: Cavia porcellus (domestic guinea pig)
Lineage: Eukaryota; Metazoa; Chordata; Mammalia; Rodentia; Caviidae
Rfam family: tRNA
About the family: Transfer RNA (tRNA) molecules are approximately 80 nucleotides in length. Their secondary structure includes four short double-helical elements and three loops (D, anti-codon, and T loops). Further hydrogen bonds mediate the characteristic L-shaped molecular structure. tRNAs have two regions of fundamental functional importance: the anti-codon, which is responsible for specific mRNA codon recognition, and the 3' end, to which the tRNAs corresponding amino acid is attached (by aminoacyl-tRNA synthetases). tRNAs cope with the degeneracy of the genetic code in two manners: having more than one tRNA (with a specific anti-codon) for a particular amino acid; and 'wobble' base-pairing, i.e. permitting non-standard base-pairing at the 3rd anti-codon position.
Source: Rfam by way of RNAcentral